Molecule: long non-coding RNA, 2455 nt
Organism: Mauremys reevesii (Reeves's turtle)
Lineage: Eukaryota; Metazoa; Chordata; Testudines; Geoemydidae
Exons: 3
Source: RefSeq, a predicted model, not a curated record
GCAAUGAACUUCCUGAGAGGAGGACCCAGCAGAUCACCCAUCCUCACGUGAGCUGGAGACCGCUCUCAGUGAGGAUGGAAUUAUAAGGAUCCAAAUUACAUACAAGAGGGCCAUGUGGCUGUAUUUAAUCACCUUGAACUGGAGAGGAAGCAAUUAAAAGGGAAGAGAACAAAAAGGAGGAACAGGAAGAAAGAAAAGGAAGUGGCAGGAGAGAUAAGGAGGAAGACAGGUGAAUGAAAUCAGAACAGGAGAAAGGAAAGGAGUGCCUCCAGAGACACAUCUGUGGAUUACAGAGACACUGCUCUGGAUGACUUUUACUUGUUGUUCAACCUUGAUGCAGCUGGGACCUCUUUAACGACUGCCAGUUUUCUGACCUUUGACUUUGAGUGGAAGGAAUUCAUUUGAAAAUGAAAUGUAUCCUGAACCCACUGCUAGAUCUGCUUUCUAAAAAUGAACUGCUGCCUGCAUGGCUUUGACCCCAGUUGUCAGUGCGCUGUUUGACCUGAUUGCAUUUCUAUGGCUGCUGUCUCAUUAUGUGACUACUGUUGGGUCAGGAGUGUGUGUGUGGAGGAAGUUUCAUCAUCUUUGUUCACAAAAAGAAAAGCAGGUGACAUCAGCUAAACAGUCCAUUGAAGUGAAUAACCAGGAGUUUGAAGGAUUGCAUAAACCACUCUGAAGCAUAGUGUUAUUAGAGCUAAAAAGCUCUGAAAUAGGUUGUUAGAGCUAACUUUUAAAGUAAUUAUGAUAAUUCUCUGAUUUAGCAGGACAUGCAAGGGGCAGGGGAGAGAAAAUAAAAUAUAGAGCCCCCUGUUACCUCCCCAUUCCUCUGCUUCAAUACAUGAACCAUCCACCACAAGGUGUGGAUCUUGUUGCCUGUAUGGCAGAUCUGCACCUCACUAGCAAUGCCCUGGCUCACCCAUCUUUUCCCAAAGGAGUGAUAAUCUGAACUGUAGCUCCAUAGAGCAUAUUUCAAUUCCUGGGAGCAAGAUAGAUCUUUCCCCUCCUUUCCGUCUCAAAAAGGGUUUUGUUUCCACAGAUGGCAAUUGCCAAGUGCUAUGUUGUUACACAUUCCAGUGUUUUGGUGGGUUGGUGCCUCUUAGUAUACUUCAGACUAUGAUGACCACCUUCUUCAGUUCAGAAGGAUUUUAUUUAUUUAUUUAUUUAUUUAUUUAUUUAUUUGCAACAUCAUCUGGGAGUUUUUCAUCUUUCUGUUAGUAGUGGAGGGCAUAGGCCAAGGUGAUCUUAUUUAAAACAUUUGAGUUCCAGUCAUGGUUUGCAUUCUAUCACAUGUUUAAAAUGCCAGGAGUCUUUUGCAGCUGUGUUAUCGAGGCCCAAAUUUAUCCAAUCUCGAGCAAAGGGAUAGGAGUGUGAGACCUGGAGUUUUAGGCAGCACUGGGCAGUGUAGCUGCUUUGACACUGAGCACAGGGAAGGUAAAUUGGAGGAAGUGAUUAGUUAUGUGGGCUUUAUUAGUUUUGUUCUUAGUAUGUUAAUGGCAAUCACUAUAUUUAACAGCCAACAGUGUACAUUAAAGUUGUAUUUACUUGUCAGAGAUAAAUGCCAAUUAACAAACAAUGCUACCUUACAGGUAGAAGAAAAUCCACCCAAAAUUUGUCCUACCAAUAGAUUAUCUUAAUCUCUAAAAGAAGUGUAAUUGAAAUUUUGAUGCUAAUAUUUUUGUAGCUUCUGUAGUUAUUAAGGUCUUUGUCUUCAUUACCUCUUGGAUGUCACAGCAGAAAAUUAUUUGCUUGAAUACAGAAAAACAUAUUAGGAGUUAACAUUUCCCAACUUACCCUCAUGAGACUGGGUCAAUAUCAAAGCAAUUACCUAGGUAGGUUUCAAAUUAUGCCUUUGUGGUUUUAAAUGAAAAUCGAAGAAUGAUAGCAACCAAUCUAAUAGGCUAUGGGUUGCACAAGUAUGAAACAAUGCAUCAUACUGCAUUGUAUUAUGCUGAGUUUGUUUUGUUUGAAAUAACAAAAAGCAAACCAGAAGGAAAAGACUCUCCCAUUAAAAACAGUUUUAUUGUCAUGAUAACCAAUGACAAUGUUAAAGUAAGAUACGGGAAUAGAAUUGGUGAAUGUUAAAAUAAGGGAAAAGCAGGAAGAUAAUCAUUAAUGCAGUAACACAUCUGAGAUUCUUUUUAUAGUUAAACUGCUUGAUGGCAAUGCUUUUGACUAAAGCUCAAUAUGUAGGAUUUGAAAGAAUGAAAUAGAAAUAUUUUGUAAUCCAAUGCAUUUGGAGGGAAUUAAAAUAAAAAGAAACUUGGUGUGUUGGAUUGGGGUUCACAGGGAGGGAUUUAAACAUUCCCUUGUAGUGCUGAAAGCCCAGAAUACCCAGGGACUGUGCAAAUGCCAAGAACUAAGUGGAAGUGACUAAAGGCCUGACCGAAAGGCAAUUUAAAUUUAAGAGUCCUUUGACUUCAAUGUACUUUGGAUCAGUCCCUAAGAUUCUAGAUUG